This 339-nucleotide ribosomal RNA is filed under the name Triticum aestivum (bread wheat). RNAcentral's name for it is "partial small subunit ribosomal RNA". The record is from RNAcentral. Lineage: Eukaryota; Viridiplantae; Streptophyta; Magnoliopsida; Poales; Poaceae.
AUGCAGAAAUAUAACAUCGGAAACUCCAUGCUUGACACAACAUGGAAGGUAAUCAAACCCGCCAGCAGAUGCACUCGCACUGAAUUGCAAACAAGAUCAAUUGACAAGCGAGAACAACGCAUUGUAAGUACUGAUUUAUUGAAGCAACCCAGUGUGCCUUCAACUUUCAUGCCAGAAUGUUUAUCAGCGGAGAAUAGAAUAUUCGUAGCGUGGUCAUCAGCGGCCCGUUUCUCCAUCUCCAGCCACCAAAUCGAAACCUGCGGAGCAAGUAAUAACAUCAUCAGUCAAAGAAACUUUGUAGCUUUCAUUCAGGCAAAGCUGAUGGAGGUAUUCUCAUAA